UAACGGACUUCACUCCCAACCCAAUGUGAACCAUACCAAACUGUUGCCUCGGCGGGGUCACGCCCCGGGUGCGUCGCAGCCCCGGAACCAGGCGCCCGCCGGAGGGACCAACCAAACUCUUUUCUGUAGUCCCCUCGCGGACGUUAUUUCUUACAGCUCUGAGCAAAAAUUCAAAAUGAAUCAAAACUUUCAACAACGGAUCUCUUGGUUCUGGCAUCGAUGAAGAACGCAGCGAAAUGCGAUAAGUAAUGUGAAUUGCAGAAUUCAGUGAAUCAUCGAAUCUUUGAACGCACAUUGCGCCCGCCAGUAUUCUGGCGGGCAUGCCUGUCCGAGCGUCAUUUCAACCCUCGAACCCCUCCGGGGGGUCGGCGUUGGGGAUCGGGAACCCCUAAGACGGGAUCCCGGCCCCGAAAUACAGUGGCGGUCUCGCCGCAGCCUCUCCUGCGCAGUAGUUUGCACAACUCGCACCGGGAGCGCGGCGCGUCCACGUCCGUAAAACACCCAACUUCUGAAAUGUUGACCUCGGAUCAGGUAGGAAUACCCGCUGAACUUAAGCAUAUCAUAAGCCCGGAGGAA
RNAcentral lists this ribosomal RNA (576 nucleotides) under Trichoderma gamsii. RNAcentral's name for it is "eukaryotic LSU rRNA". The stretch from base 185 to 338 matches the Rfam family "5.8S ribosomal RNA". The record is from RNAcentral. Lineage: Eukaryota; Fungi; Ascomycota; Sordariomycetes; Hypocreales; Hypocreaceae.